UCCUGUACGUGUAAAUGCCUUCUUGGCUCUGAUCAUCAAUGAAGGAGAUGCUGUAAACAUCGUCGUAAUCUGUGCACCCGCCUCUUUGAUUGGUGAUCAUAGCCGUGAAGAGUUUCCAUGAGCUCCGGA
Molecule: non-coding RNA, 129 nt
Organism: Marchantia polymorpha subsp. ruderalis
Lineage: Eukaryota; Viridiplantae; Streptophyta; Marchantiopsida; Marchantiales; Marchantiaceae
Source: the annotation of a GenBank genome assembly